UAGAUGUCUUUGUUUUGAAAAAAAUCCCU
RNAcentral lists this non-coding RNA (29 nucleotides) under Rattus norvegicus (Norway rat). The record is from RNAcentral. Lineage: Eukaryota; Metazoa; Chordata; Mammalia; Rodentia; Muridae.